This 72-nucleotide transfer RNA is filed under the name Nanobdellota archaeon. Its description in RNAcentral is "tRNA-Gly". It matches the Rfam family "tRNA". From Rfam's summary of the family: Transfer RNA (tRNA) molecules are approximately 80 nucleotides in length. Their secondary structure includes four short double-helical elements and three loops (D, anti-codon, and T loops). RNAcentral also lists the same sequence under 1 other name. The record is from RNAcentral. Lineage: Archaea; Nanobdellati; Nanobdellota.
GCAGUGGUAGUCUAAUGGUUAGGACACUAGCUUGCCAAGCUGGUAAUCCGGGUUCGAGUCCCGGCCAUUGCA